Molecule: ribosomal RNA, 768 nt
Filed under: Corynebacterium xerosis
Lineage: Bacteria; Bacillati; Actinomycetota; Actinomycetes; Mycobacteriales; Corynebacteriaceae
Description: bacterial SSU rRNA
Rfam family: Bacterial small subunit ribosomal RNA
Source: RNAcentral
GUAAGGCCCCAGCUUGCUGGGGUACACGAGUGGCGAACGGGUGAGUAACACGUGGGUGACCUGCCCCGCACUUCGGGAUAAGCCUGGGAAACUGGGUCUAAUACCGGAUAGGACCGCACCGUGAGGGUGUGGUGGAAAGUUUUUCGGUGUGGGAUGGGCCCGCGGCCUAUCAGCUUGUUGGUGGGGUAAUGGCCUACCAAGGCGGCGACGGGUAGCCGGCCUGAGAGGGUGGACGGCCACAUUGGGACUGAGACACGGCCCAGACUCCUACGGGAGGCAGCAGUGGGGAAUAUUGCACAAUGGGCGGAAGCCUGAUGCAGCGACGCCGCGUGGGGGAUGACGGCCUUCGGGUUGUAAACUCCUUUCACCAUCGACGAAGGUUUUCUGACGGUAGAUGGAGAAGAAGCACCGGCUAACUACGUGCCAGCAGCCGCGGUAAUACGUAGGGUGCGAGCGUUGUCCGGAAUUACUGGGCGUAAAGAGCUCGUAGGUGGUUUGUCGCGUCGUCUGUGAAAUUCCGGGGCUUAACUCCGGGCGUGCAGGCGAUACGGGCAUAACUUGAGUACUGUAGGGGAGACUGGAAUUCCUGGUGUAGCGGUGAAAUGCGCAGAUAUCAGGAGGAACACCGGUGGCGAAGGCGGGUCUCUGGGCAGUAACUGACGCUGAGGAGCGAAAGCAUGGGUAGCGAACAGGAUUAGAUACCCUGGUAGUCCAUGCCGUAAACGGUGGGCGCUAGGUGUAGGGGUCUUCCACGACUUCUGUGCCGUA